Molecule: long non-coding RNA, 1077 nt
Organism: Patella vulgata (common limpet)
Lineage: Eukaryota; Metazoa; Mollusca; Gastropoda; Patellidae
Exons: 5
Source: RefSeq, a predicted model, not a curated record
UCUUAUAUAUCACACGAAUUAAAAUGGCGUCCUUAGUUGUAAUAUAUUUUAUUCUGCUGGUUCCGAUUUCAGUUACAGGUUUCGAUUGUUACACCUGUCCUUACAAAACCGAGCCUGAAAACUGCAGUUCAUUUAACAAUCCUAUAGAAAUGGAAUCAUUCAAUUUCACCUGUAAAGGGGUCAAGCAAACCAAAGGUGAAGAACUGUGUAAGAAAUACCCUGAUGCUGGGUAUACCCUGACGUGUACUGAAUCCGCAGGUGGUGUAACCAACUCAAAGGGAUGUGGAUAUAGAUGUAAAACUAAUGGAGCCAGUGAUGGACAUGAAUUAAAUAAAGUUACGAUGGGCAUAAUGCUAUUACUUUCUGGUUUCGAUUGUUACACCUGUCCUUACAAAACCGAGCCUGAAAACUGCAGUUCAUUUAACAAUCCUAUAGAAAUGGAAUCAUUCAAUUUCACCUGUAAAGGGGUCAAGCAAACCAAAGGUGAAGAACUGUGUAAGAAAUACCCUGAUGGUGGGUAUACCCUGACGUGUACUGAAUCCGCAGGUGGUGUAACCACCAAAAAGGGAUGUGGACAUAGCUGUAAAACUAAUGGAGCCAGUGAUGGACAUGAUUUAAAUAAAGUUACGAUGGGCAUAAUGCUAUUACUUUCUGGUGUAUAUUUAAAAUUAAAUUGAACAUGGUGUUAUUACCCCACGGUGUAUAUGUAGAAUUAAAUUGAACAUAAUGUUAUUACCCCCAGGUGUAUAUUUAAAGUUAAAUUGAACAUAAUAGUUUUAUCAACAGUUAUAUAUAUAUAUAAAAUUAAAUUGAACAUAAUGCUAUAACUCCCUGUGUAUAUUUAAAGUUAAAUUGAACAUUACGUUAUUACCCCAAGGGAUAUAUUUAACAUUACGAUUAGCAUAGUAAUUAUUAUUACUGUCUUUUGUAUAUUUAAAGUUAAAUUGGAUUUAUUGUUAGUACUGUCGUGUUUAUUUAUAAAGAUUUAUUGAUUACAUGAUUCACCGUUCACAUAUACAUUAUUAUAAAUGAUUAACGAUUACCGCUUAAUAAUAUAAAACCAUCUGUUCUAUGUAG